This 810-nucleotide ribosomal RNA is filed under the name Triticum aestivum (bread wheat). RNAcentral's name for it is "partial small subunit ribosomal RNA". Lineage: Eukaryota; Viridiplantae; Streptophyta; Magnoliopsida; Poales; Poaceae. The record is from RNAcentral.
AUGCGCGCGAGGAUGGUGAAGGCCGCGCGCGCCAGCGACGAGACGACGGCGUCGAAGGUGCACCCCCACAGAGACGUCUGCUUGAGGUUCUUCACGUCCUGCUUCUUGGAGAAGAUGAGCUGCUGCUGCUCCGACGCCACCGAGAUCUUGCUCGCCGACAUGCUGCGGCGGUGGCACCCUCCUCCGCCGCUUGCAGCAGCGUCGGCCCGCAGGAACUUCCGGAGGCCGUGCUCGGCCUCCGCGAGCUCCUCCAUGGCCCUGCGGAGCGCGGCGGUGGUGGCCACCUGCUUCUCCAACUUCCUCGCGCGCGCGUCCAUCUCCUUCCACGUGGGCGCGGCCCAGCGGUGCCGGUCGCGGCCGGCGUCGGCGAACUCCAGCAGCGCAUCCCUGAACUCCCGCAAGCAGGGGUCGGCGCAGCGCUCCGCCAGCGCGGCGACGGCGUCGGACGCGCCCCGCAGCGCGUCGACGAGCUCGGCGCGCGCGAGGCCGAGCAGGAAGGCGUCGUCGUCGGAGACGACCUUGCGGACGCCGUCGAGGUGGACGACCUCGUGGCGGAGCCGCGCCACCGCCGCGUCACCGACGGCGCGCCACACGUGGAGCAGCCUGGACACGAGGCUGGCCACCUCGAAGGCCAGGAUGCCGACGUUGCCCUUCUUGCCACCGGCGCCGGCCGGCGGCGCCCCCGACGAGGACGGCUUCGACGAGAUGGCCGACCGGACCUUGGCCAGCCAUGACUCGCGCGCCAUGGGCAUCGGUGGAUCGAUCUGUCUGUCAAUGGCACGCACCAGCAAGGAAGAGAGCAAGAGCUAG